GGAUUAGGCAUGCAAGUCGAACGCGAAAGUCCCUUCGGGGGCGAGUAGAGUGGCGAACGGGUGAGUAAUGCAUGAAUGACCUACCCAGAUGACGGGGACAACCAUUCGAAAGGAUGGCUAAUACCGGAUGUGAUCGGCGUCUCGAGGGGCGCCGAUGAAAGCUAGCCUCUGACUCAAGCUGGCGCAUCUGGAGGGGUUCAUGUGCUAUUAGCUUGUUGGUGGGGUAACGGCCUACCAAGGCUUUGAUGGCUAGCCGGCCUGAGAGGGUGUCCGGCCACACUGGGACUGAGACACUGCCCAGACUCCUACGGGAGGCUACAGUCGAGAAUCUUCCACCAAUGCGCGAAAGCGUGAUGGAGCGACGCCGCGUGGACGAUGAAGGCCUUCGGGUCGUAAAGUCCUGUUGUGAGGGCGUAAUCCCUCAGGGUGAAUAGCCCUUGAGGUUGAACUCCCUCACGAGGAAGCACCGGCUAAAUUCGUGCCAGCAGCCGCGGUAAUACGAAUGGUGCGAGCGUUGUUCGGAAUCACUGGGCAUAAAGAGCACGUAGGCGGUCCGGUCAGUCAGCUGUGAAAUCCCCCGGCUCAACCGAGGAACUGCAGCUGAUACUACCGGUCUAGAGUGCGGGAGGGGAGAGCGGAAUUCCUGGUGGAGCGGUGAUAUGUGUAGAUAUCAGGAGGAACGCCGGAGGCGAAAGCGGCUCUCUGGCCCGCAACUGACGCUGAGGUGCGAAAGCUAGGGGAGCGAACAGGAUUAGAUACCCUGGUAGUCCUAGCCGUAAACGAUGGGCACUAAGUAGAGGGGUUUU
RNAcentral lists this ribosomal RNA (806 nucleotides) under uncultured Planctomycetota bacterium. RNAcentral's name for it is "bacterial SSU rRNA". It matches the Rfam family "Bacterial small subunit ribosomal RNA", at positions 46 to 832 of the family's 1533-position model. Lineage: Bacteria; Pseudomonadati; Planctomycetota. The record is from RNAcentral.